GCAUCAAUAUGGUGACCUCCCUGGAGCGGGGGGCCACCAGGUUGCCUAAGGAGGGGUGAACCGGCCCAGGUCGGAAACGGAGCAGGUCAAAUCAACAC
RNAcentral lists this small RNA (98 nucleotides) under Marmota monax (woodchuck). It matches the Rfam family "Metazoan signal recognition particle RNA", at positions 124 to 219 of the family's 299-position model. From Rfam's summary of the family: The signal recognition particle (SRP) is a universally conserved ribonucleoprotein. It is involved in the co-translational targeting of proteins to membranes. The eukaryotic SRP consists of a 300-nucleotide 7S RNA and six proteins: SRPs 72, 68, 54, 19, 14, and 9. The record is from RNAcentral. Lineage: Eukaryota; Metazoa; Chordata; Mammalia; Rodentia; Sciuridae.